Molecule: ribosomal RNA, 497 nt
Filed under: uncultured bacterium
Lineage: Bacteria
Description: partial 16S ribosomal RNA
Rfam family: Bacterial small subunit ribosomal RNA
Source: RNAcentral
GACGAACGCUGGCGGCGUGCCUAAUACAUGCCAGUAGAACGCUGAAGCUUGGUGCUUGCACCGAGCGGAUGAGUUGCGAACGGGUGAGUAACGCGUAGGUAACCUGCCUGGUAGCGGGGGAUAACUAUUGGAAACGAUAGCUAAUACCGCAUAAGAGUAGAUGUUGCAUGACAUUUGCUUAAAAGGUGCAAUUGCAUCACUACCAGAUGGACCUGCGUUGUAUUAGCUAGUUGGUGAGGUAACGGCUCACCAAGGCAACGAUACAUAGCCGACCUGAGAGGGUGAUCGGCCACACUGGGACUGAGACACGGCCCAGACUCCUACGGGAGGCAGCAGUAGGGAAUCUUCGGCAAUGGACGGAAGUCUGACCGAGCAACGCCGCGUGAGUGAAGAAGGGUUUCGGAUCGUAAAGCUCUGUUGUAAGAGAAGAACGAGUGUGAGAGUGGAAAGUUCACACUGUGACGGUAUCUUACCAGAAAGGGACGGCUAACUACGUG